GUAGGUUUGUUGAACAUGAGUGGAAAUGAAACUCCAGCACACUGGUAGCACUAUAGAUGUGUGAGUAUAACUUUUCCAGGUGAGUUGAACCUGCCUGUGGGUGCAGUGGGGAUAUUCCUGGGAGGUCUACUGAUGAAGAGGUAUAAGCUUGGCGUUGUGUCUGGAGCCCAGCUGUUUUUCGUCACCUCCUUCAUGGCCUACCUCCUCCGUCUGCAGUCUGGCACUAAGUGUGACAACGUUCAGGUGGCUGGUCUGACCGUGUCCUACAACGGGCCCCCUGGUGUACGAUGGCAGCCUGUUGUCAGAGUGUAACAGAGACUGCUCCUGCUUGGCUGGGGAGUGGGACCCUGUGUGUUCAGACAACGGCAUCACCUACACCUCCCCCUGCCUCGCAGGCUGCUCCAGCUUUACAGGUUACGGCAAGAACACGAGUGAUCUUCCUUGGCCUCAUCACAUGUCUCAGUGGCUCCUCCUUAGGAGGGAGGGGGACACCACCACGG
Molecule: long non-coding RNA, 500 nt
Organism: Salvelinus namaycush (lake trout)
Lineage: Eukaryota; Metazoa; Chordata; Actinopteri; Salmoniformes; Salmonidae
Exons: 3
Source: RefSeq, a predicted model, not a curated record